UACAGAGGGUGCGAGCGUUAAUCGGAAUUACUGGGCGUAAAGCGUGCGUAGACGGUAGCGUAAGUCAGAUGUGAAAGCCCCGGGCUCAACCUGGGAAUUGCAUUUGAGACUGCUCUGCUCGGGUGCGGAAGAGGGAAGCGGAAUUUCCGGUGUAGCGGUGAAAUGCGUAGAUAUGCGGAGGAACACCGAUGGCGAAGGCAAUCCCCUGGACCUGUACUGACGCUCAUGCACGAAAGCGUGGGGAGCAAACAGG
This 253-nucleotide ribosomal RNA is filed under the name uncultured bacterium. Its description in RNAcentral is "partial 16S ribosomal RNA". It matches the Rfam family "Bacterial small subunit ribosomal RNA", at positions 524 to 776 of the family's 1533-position model. The record is from RNAcentral.